Molecule: non-coding RNA, 1675 nt
Organism: Rattus norvegicus (Norway rat)
Lineage: Eukaryota; Metazoa; Chordata; Mammalia; Rodentia; Muridae
Source: RefSeq, a predicted model, not a curated record
UACAGGUGCCUGGAAGCCAGAAGAGUCAUAUCCAACCGAAACUGGAGAUUCAGAUGGCUGUGAGCUCCCUGACAUAGGUACUGGGAAUGAAAUUUAGGUCUUCUGGAAGAGCAGUUAACUGCUUUUAACUGCCGAUCCACUUCCCAGCCCACCUCUCCCUGUCUUAGCACUAAAGAGCCAAGCGUAUAGAACAGAGAGAAUGCCCACGGCUGCAGAAAAUGUGCUGAGUUACAAAGACAAACCUGACAGAAUGACAGCAGACCCGUCAGCGGCGGUGUCCACGGCCAAGAUGGCUGAACAUUCCACACUUCAGAAUAAAAUAACUGCAACCAAGACUACUCUAUCCGGCAAAUCUGCCUUUUAGGACCGAAGGAGAAACAAAGACCCUCCACGAUAAUCAUCAAGUGAGAUGACUGAUCCAUGAAGUCUAAGAACAGCACAGCAGAAGACACUUAAUGGCUUCUGCACACAGAAGUAAGUCCGCACACGGGCAUGGGUGCUGGAGAAAGGAUGCAUCUCAAAGAGAAGGAGGUGGGAAGGACCGAUCAUCACUAACUCAGCCAGCAUCAAAGAUGGAGAUGGGAAACCCGCACACAUCUAAGUAUUAGCUGCAAACAUCCGUGGUUUUUUCUCCACAACCAAAAGACCCAGAUUGCCAGAACGGAUCCUAGGAUAAGAAACAAACAAAGGAAAAAACAAAAACCAAGAAGCACAAGAAACUCACAAAACACAAAAAAUCAAAACAAGCAAAAGACCAAUAGGACAAAAAAAAAAAAAAAAAUCCAAAAACAAACUGAAAGAAGCAAACAGAACCCUUGAGUUCAUUUUGUGUCCGCCUGUCACUCCUAGGCACUGCGCCUGCCUGAGAUGUAGUUGACAGACCCAGUGAUGCUCCACUGGAGAAAACCAAUUUUCCCUCCACCAACAGAGAAAAGUUACACAUAGUUUCUUGCUAGAAGUUGAAUCCCACGUCCACAUCCCCUCUGAGCUCCAGUCUGGCUUGAACCGGUACAGGUCUCCUAUGCGCUGCCCUCAUCUCUGCGUGCUGAUUUGCACAGCAGUCCUGUUGCGUCUGUUUCCUGGGAGUCAUGCAUCACCCCUGGUUCUUACGGUCUCUCUGCCUCCUCCUGCACACAGAUCCCUGAGCCUUGAGGUUUGAGGGAGAUCUGCCACUUAGGACCGAAUGCUCCAAAGUCAUACAGCUGUGGGUCUUUACAGUAACUCCCGCCCACUGCAAGAAAAAGCUUCUCUGGUGAAGGCUGGGCGAGGCACUGCUCUGUGGCUAUAGCAGCAUCUCUUCAGGAGUCAUCUAUUGCUUUGUUCUUUUGCUGACUAAUAAUAUUGAUUAACCAACUGAUCCUAUUAAGUUUUCCCUUAGGCCCAUGACUUUUUUGUCUGUCUGUCUGUCUGUCUGUUUUUUAAAUAGGGAUUCAUCCUGUAGUCCAGACAGGCUCCCAACUCUCAAUCCUCCAGGCCCCAAUGUGUCUCCAGUAUGGCUAUUAUGGGACCUUCCUUCUAUAUUUUCCUUGUCGAACAUUAAAGAAAAGGAGGGAAGAGGUAAGGAAACAAGAAUUGGUUCCAGAAAAGAGUCUCAGGUCAGAGACAAACAAACUGUCCUCCUCGAAGGCUCUUAAAUGUUGGACAGAAGUAAUUUUAAAAAAAAAGAUUUUAAAAA